Monodelphis domestica (gray short-tailed opossum) is the source of this 2520-nucleotide long non-coding RNA. RefSeq lists it as uncharacterized. NCBI's taxonomy places the organism in Eukaryota, Metazoa, Chordata, Mammalia, Didelphimorphia, Didelphidae. The record is from RefSeq and is a predicted model, not a curated record.
AGUAACAUGGGAUAUCCUAAGUUAAACAAGUCCCCCCCAACUUUGCCACCUGAUAUGCUUUUCUUACAGCCUGAAUUGUUUCCUAAUAAUACCUUUAUCUGCUAAAUAAUUUAAACUGCCUAAAAAUUCUACCUAUCUUCCUCGUUCAAUUCUAUAUUUCAGGCCUUGCCUAUCUAAGGCUUCCUACAUUAUAUGAUUACAGAAAAAUUGCCAUAAGAGAAGAGAGGGGAGGGAUUAAAAUGAGGAAGAAAUGCUCCCCUAAUUUGGGUAUUAAUGCCAUGUGUAAAUUGGCCUUGAUGCUUAGCUAUGUGUAUAACCUGCCAGUUAUGACAGAGAAGUCUCUUGCUGAAGAAAUCCAGUGGAGUAACCUUAGUCUUUCUUCAGUCCAGAAAUGUAGUCCAGGCAUUGCCGUAGAGGCAGAACCGUAAGGGUUAAGCCUCCUCUUCUCUCUGUUUGGGCUGCAUAGUCAGGUUCGUGGGUUGAACUGUGUAUGACCUGCCCAGCUGUGUGCUCAAAGUUGGAGUAGCAUCAGAGGGAGGACUGAUAAGGUUUGUGAGAAAGAAACUGUAAGGUUGGAGUAGCCAGCAGAGGACUGAUAAGAGUUGUGAGAAAUUGUGAGAGUCUGUGGGAAAGUUGCUUCUCUGUCUUUGUUUGGAAUCCUCUCGGUUCUUCCCUGUGCCUGGUAGGUAACGUCAUGAAUUCCUAUGAAUCUGCCCAAUUAUUGGUUCCUGCUGUUGCUGAGUGGCAACAUUAUAUCUUCCUGUGUGUCUUAACCUAUAUAUUGCUUUGUUUGAACUCAAUAAAGGGUCGUUAUGCUUUUUCAUAUAGCGUCCAUUCAUCACUCUGUAUGUUCGUUACCCCAGGCAAGGUCACAGAAAGGUUGGCCACCUUUUUGAUGAGCCUUGCAGUUUGGCGCCCGAACAGGGACAUAAAUGCCGUUCGUAACCCCGAUUCUUUUCUGGUCAAAGGAUGAUUCAGAGUGAUGGGCUUUGUGGCAAUAUCUUGGAUUGGGUCAAGGACAACAAUGGAUACCCCAUAGAUGGACCAGACCUAUCCUGCAGUCUGAAGAAAAUGAAACAGUCGACCAAGGGGCAGGAAAAGGCCCCGAGUGCAACAGAGAAAAGAGAGACAAUUGAUCCUGUUCCUGGCGACUCUGAUGAACACUCUCAACAUGGCUAAUACAGAGACACAGACUCAUUGGGUUUAGUGGGAAAAACCCCAUGGAUUAACUUUGUAGAAUUUGAGGAGGACUUUCCUGAGGUAUCUCUUCAUGUACAAUAAUUUGGUCCAGGAUGGAAAUGGACUGCUAAGAAUGAAGAGACUGGGGAAAGAUUUCAUAUUGGGAAUGGUAUCAUUCACCUGCAGAUAGAGCAAUGGAAAGAUUAUCUCAACUAAUUAGCUCUAGGAAAAAGAUGUAUUUCUUGCAUAGUUUUAGGUAUUGUAGCUUUGAUAGCCACCCUUUCUGCUACAACUGUCAGUAGUGUUUCUCUAGCACAAAGUGUAGCUAAUGUUCAUGUCCUGGAACAUGAUGCAGAAUAUUUACAUGGGCUUGCACAGAAUGUAACCAAGGCUUUGCAUAUACAGCAAAAUAUUAAUACAAGGGUUUUUUAUGCUUUAUAACAAAUAUCUAAAGAUGUAUUGUUACUCACUAAUCAAGUAGAAAUUUUAGCUAUUAAGGGUAAAUUACGGUGUGACUAUCAUUAUUCAGCUUUUUGUCUUCUUGUUAAAGUCAACACGUCUGAUGCAUUUGAAAAAAUUAGAAAUGAUCUACAAGGUCUUUGGCUAAAAGGCAAUAUCUCUGAAAACAUCCAACAAUUGAACCGUAUUAUUGAAGAAAUGGAUAGUUCCUUAGCUGAAGAUCUUUAUCCUGAACAUAUUGCUGAUUCUAUAUACAAUUGGAUUAAAUCAGGCCAAAGUUGGCUGUCUCCUUUAGCUCAAAUGAGUAUAACCAUAUUGACUUUCAUACUGUUUGUAGUUAUCUUACUGGUCCUUCUUCCUUGCCUAUUCCGGCUCCUUGUGUCCAGCGUGAGCAGGAUUGGACAAGUUCUGACCCAACACUGAGUACUGUUGCAAAACAAAAAGGGGGAAUUGUAGUCGAGGCAUUGCCGUAAAGGCAGAACCAUAAGGGUUAAGCCUCCUCUUCUCUCUGUUUGGGCUGCAUAGUCAGGGUCGUGGGUUGAACUGUGUAUGACCUGCCCAGCUAUGUGCUCAAGGUUGGAGUAGCAUCAGAGGGAGUACUGAUAAGGUUUGUGAGAAAGAAACUGUAAGGUUGGAGUAGCCAGCAGAGGACUGAUAAGAGUUGUGAGAAAUUGUGAGAGUCUGUGGGAAAGUUGCUUCUCUGUCUUUGUUUGGAAUCCUCUCGGUUCUUCCCUGUGCCUGGCAGGUAACGUCAUGAAUUCCUAUGAAUCUGCCCAAUUAUUGGUUCCUGCUGUUGCUGGGUGGCAACAUCAUAUCUUCCUGUGUGUCUUAACCUAUAUAUUUCUUUGUUUGAACUCAAUAAAGGGUCGUUAUGCUUUUUCA